ACCCCAGACUCCUACGGGAGGCAGCAGUGGGGAAUAUUGCACAAUGGGGGAACCCUGAUGCAGCGACGCCGCGUGGGUGAAGAUGUAUUUCGGUAUGUAAAGCCCUAUCGGCAGGGAAGAAAUUGGACGGUACCUGACUAAGAAGCCCCGGCUAACUACGUGCCAGCAGCCGCGGGAAUACGUAGGGGGCAAGCGUUAUCCGGAUUCACUGGGUGUAAAGGGAGCGUAGACGGCCAUGCAAGCCUGGAGUGAAAGCCCGGGGCCCAACCCCGGGACUGCUCUUGGAACUGCGUGGCUGGAGUGCAGGAGGGGCAGGCGGAAUUCCUGGUGUAGCGGUGAGAUGCGUAGAUAUCAGGAGGAACACCGGUGGCGAAGGCGGCCUGCUGGACUGCAACUGACGUUGAGGCCCGAAAGCGUGGGGAGCAAACAGGAUUAGAUACCCCAGUA
Molecule: ribosomal RNA, 447 nt
Filed under: uncultured bacterium
Lineage: Bacteria
Description: bacterial SSU rRNA
Rfam family: Bacterial small subunit ribosomal RNA
Source: RNAcentral